This 75-nucleotide transfer RNA is filed under the name Candidatus Roizmanbacteria bacterium CG03_land_8_20_14_0_80_39_12. RNAcentral describes it as "tRNA-Lys". It matches the Rfam family "tRNA". From Rfam's summary of the family: Transfer RNA (tRNA) molecules are approximately 80 nucleotides in length. Their secondary structure includes four short double-helical elements and three loops (D, anti-codon, and T loops). The record is from RNAcentral. Lineage: Bacteria; Candidatus Roizmaniibacteriota. RNAcentral also lists the same sequence under 1 other name.
GGGUCCAUAGCUCAAUGGUAGAGCAGCAGCCUUUUAAGCUGUUGGUUCUGGGUCCGAGUCCCAGUGGGCUCACAA